This 253-nucleotide ribosomal RNA is filed under the name uncultured bacterium. RNAcentral describes it as "partial 16S ribosomal RNA". It matches the Rfam family "Bacterial small subunit ribosomal RNA", at positions 524 to 776 of the family's 1533-position model. The record is from RNAcentral.
UACGGGGGGGGCAAGCGUUGUUCGGAAUUACUGGGCGUAAAGGGCUCGUAGGUGGCCAACUAAGUCGGACGUGAAAUCCCUCAGCUUAACUGGGGAACUGCGUCCGAUACUGGAUGGCUUGAGUUUGGGAGAGGGAUGCGGAAUUCCAGGUGUAGCGGUGAAAUGCGUAGAUAUCUGGAGGAACACCGAUGGCGAAGGCAGGUCUCUGGGCCGCAACUGACGCUGAGGAGCGAAAGCAUGGGGAGCGAACAGG